UGACGGCCUAAAUGGUGACUCAGUUGCUUUUCCAGGAGAAGAAGCAAGCUACGGCAAAGAAGUUGGAGUCGUGGCUGCAAAUUCCGGUGAUCCAAGCGCGGGUCUCUGACGAAACCUCUUUACCUCUCUGUUUCAACUUAAAAGUGGAAGUUUGGAACAGUGUGGAAACAAAUAACAUGUUUGUAUUGAAGAGAACAACAAAACAACAGUAACCACUUCCAAUAAGUUUUCUUUUAGAUGACUGUCCUCACACCGUCCUACCACGCUGAGGUACUGCUACGGAACAAAAAUUUGUCUGAUACUUGUUUUGAAACUGUGACGAGUGAGAGAAAACUCAUAGGGGUUCUCUUGUUGCAGAGUUACUCUCCAGAGGACAACAGGUUCGAUCUGAGGCAGUUUCUGUAUAAUAGCAAGUGGCCAUACCAGUUCAAGAAGAUUGACGAGAUUGUUGACGGCCUAAAUGGUGACUCAGUUGCUUUUCCAGGAGAAGAAGCAAGCUACGGCAAAGAAGUUGGAGUCGUGGCUGCAAAUUCCGGUGAUCCAAGCGCGGGUCUCUGACGAAACCUCUUUACCUCUCUGUUUCAACUUAAAAGUGGAAGUUUGGAACAGUGUGGAAACAAAUAACAUGUUUGUAUUGAAGAGAACAACAAAACAACAGUAACCACUUCCAAUAAGUUUUCUUUUUGAGUAAGUCGAUGAUCAUAUGAUCUUGUUAAAAGUUCAUUAUUAUGCAACAAACUUAUGUUUAUACAUGUUUAAAGUUUAGUUUGAGAGCAUGUUUUCUCAGUUGUAAUAUUUAGUAAAAUAGAUUCAAGUGCUCUACACAUUGUUAAUGCAUUUGGUUAAUUAUAAAUUAUUAAGUGCA
Molecule: long non-coding RNA, 865 nt
Filed under: Brassica napus (rape)
Lineage: Eukaryota; Viridiplantae; Streptophyta; Magnoliopsida; Brassicales; Brassicaceae
Description: long non-coding RNA (BNAP_LNC014704)
Source: RNAcentral